This 450-nucleotide ribosomal RNA is filed under the name uncultured Glomus. Its description in RNAcentral is "SSU rRNA". It matches the Rfam family "Eukaryotic small subunit ribosomal RNA", at positions 569 to 1024 of the family's 1831-position model. Lineage: Eukaryota; Fungi; Glomeromycota; Glomeromycetes; Glomerales; Glomeraceae. The record is from RNAcentral.
AGCAGCCGCGGUAAUUCCAGCUCCAAUAGCGUAUAUUAAAGUUGUUGCAGUUAAAAAGCUCGUAGUUGAAUUUCGGGGUUAGCAGGUCGGUCGUGCCAUCGGUAUGAACUGGUCUCGCUGAUCCCUCCCUCUUGACGAACUGUGAUGCCAUUAAUUUGGUGUCGCAGGGAAUCAGGACUGUUACUUUGAAAAAUUAGAGUGUUUAAAGCAGGCUCACGCUUGAAUACAUUAGCAUGGAAUAAUGAAAUAGGACGUUUGAUCCUAUUUUGUUGGUUUCUAGGAUUGACGUAAUGAUUAAUAGGGAUAGUUGGGGGCAUUAGUAUUCAAUUGUCAGAGGUGAAAUUCUUGGAUUUAUUGAAGACUAACUACUGCGAAAGCAUUUGCCAAGGAUGUUUUCAUUAAUCAAGAACGAAAGUUAGGGGAUCGAAGACGAUCAGAUACCGUCGUAGU